UUAAAUUUUACAACGACAUUUGUUAAGAGAACUGCCUUUAAUAAUGAGUAGAAGUAGGACAACGACGUUUAUUUGAAUAGCUUUUAACGACCGUCUUUUUAUAUAGGGUUUAAAAAAUUUCGCCAAAGAACUAAUAAUUUCGUGUAGCUACUGUGGGUCUCAGUCACGAGCUCGAACCCUAGCUAGCUUGCAUGUCUGCUUCUUUCGUU
This 209-nucleotide long non-coding RNA is filed under the name Glycine max (soybean). Its description in RNAcentral is "long non-coding RNA (GMAX_LNC001499)". The record is from RNAcentral. Lineage: Eukaryota; Viridiplantae; Streptophyta; Magnoliopsida; Fabales; Fabaceae.